RNAcentral lists this ribosomal RNA (1228 nucleotides) under Tryonicus parvus. Its description in RNAcentral is "16S ribosomal RNA". The stretch from base 836 to 1192 matches the Rfam family "Archaeal large subunit ribosomal RNA", at positions 2150 to 2716 of the family's 2987-position model. The record is from RNAcentral. Lineage: Eukaryota; Metazoa; Arthropoda; Insecta; Blattodea; Tryonicidae.
UUUUUUGUUGUUGAUUUAUUUAUAGAAAUAUCUUGUGGUUUUUGUAUACUAUUUGUGAUUUAAUUUUGUUUAAGUGUUAUUUGUUAUUACUGUGAAGGAAUAUUCUAUAAUUUUUAUAAGUAGGGUUGAUUUUCUGUACCUUGUGUAUCAGGGUCUAUUAAAUUUUAUUAUUCAUGUUUUAUUUCCCGAUCUUGAAAGAUUUAUUUUAUUAUUUUAUUUACUGUAUUAUAAGUAUUAAUAAUAUAUUAUAGUAGCGAAAUGUUAUUCGGUUUCUUUGGUAUCUGGUUUUCUAAGAAAUGAAUUUAAUUCAUAAUGUUGUUUUUGUAAUCUCUUUUAAUUGGGGACUUAUUAAUAAUGUUUAAUAUGGAGGGGGAUAAGCUUCUUUAUAUAUUGUUAUAAUUUGUUAUAGUUAUUGGUUUUGUUGGUUUUAUAUUAACUAUCAUUUUUAUUAUGUUAUAAUUUUAUCUAUUACUAUUUAAAUUUACUUUUGGUUUAAUUUUUUAUUAGAAUUUUAUUUAUAAUGAAUUGUUAUUUGUAAUUAUGAUUGAAUUAGUAUACUAUUUAUUUAUAUUAUUGUUAUUUAGUACAAAUUGUUAUUAAUGAACUAGGCAAAUAUUUCCUUCGCCUGUUUAUCAAAAACAUCUCUUUUUGUUAAUUAUUUAAAGUAUGAUCUGCCCACUGAUAUUAUUGAAGGGCCGCGGUAUUUUGACCGUGCAAAGGUAGCAUAAUCAUUAGUCUUUUAAUUGGGGACUGGAAUGAAUGAUUGGACGAGAGGUAGUCUGUUUCUUUAAAUAUUUAUUGAAUUUAUAUACUAAGUAAAAAUGCUUAGAUUUUUUAAUGGGACGAGAAGACCCUAUAGAGUUUAAUUAAUAAUAUUGUUAGUUGGUUAUUUAUAUUGAUUUGUUAUUAAUUUGGUUGGGGUGAUUAGAAGAUAAUAUAAACUCUUUUGUUUUGAUUUAUAUUGAUUUAUUAUUUUGUGAUCCAUUUUUAUUGAUUGUUAGUAAAAAUUACCUUAGGGAUAACAGCGUAAUCCCUUUUGAGAGUCCUUAUCAAUAAAGGGGAUUGCGACCUCGAUGUUGGAUUAAGAUUAAAUUUGGAAGCAGUUAUUCAAUUAUUUAGGUCUGUUCGACCUUUAAAAUCUUACAUGAUCUGAGUUCAAACCGGUGUGAGCCAGGUUGGUUUCUAUCUAUUAUUUAUUUAUAUAUCUUAGUACGAAAGGACCAGGUAU